CCAAAUGAUUUCUUUUGAAAUUAUAUUAAAACAAAAAACAUUUCAACUUCUCAAUUUUAAAAGAUAUCUCAAGAGUUCAAAUCCUUGCUCUCCAAAUGAUUCUUUUGCAACUAUAGAAAAACGAAUAACAUUUCCACUUCUAACGACAAGAACAACACCAUGGUCUAGUAGUGCUUCUAUUUCACAAUUUUAAGAAGAUAUCCCAAAAGUUUGAAUCCUGUUCCCUAAAUGAUUAGGCAAAAAAAAAAAAAAUUAUAUUUGAGAUUUCAGGCUCAGCCAUCCAUCCUUUCAUCUGGUCCGUAGAAAUAGAAAAAAGUCAAACUUUAUAGGCUAUAGCAAAUAUAAACACUACUGCAAACCGUGGCUGGUACUAGGAAGUGGAAAAAAUUUCCCAAAUCCCAAACUGAACUGAAAAAAUUCCGAUCUCAAAUAAAAAAUUUUCCAAACCAAAAUUCUCAAAAUUUUUGGGAUGCUAUUCCAUACCGAUUCCGAAAUUUCGGUAUGAGAUUUGAGAUUGUCUUCUCAAUAUUUCAAGAAUCUCAUACCAAACCGAAAAUAUAUAUUAUUAAUUAUUAUAUAUAUAUAUAUUUAAACAAAUAUAUUAUAUAUAUUUUUAAUUAUAGUUAGAGUUAAUUUCAACCAUUGGAUUGUUUCAAAUUGAUCUGUGCCGUCCAUUCAUUGUUAGGGUUCUCCAGCUCUGAGUUUUCUCCGUUCAUCUCAAUUUUGAAGCAUUUAGGACUCCACGGAAUUCUCACUCCAGACCGAAAAACGAAGAUCUACUUAGCUUGCUCGAAUCAAUCUGCAAGUUCAUACCUCAGGACUGUGAAUCUGGAGCAAACUUUGCUUAAAUUUAGUCGGUUUAGUUUAAUUGCGCUUCUGUGUCUCUGUACUUCAUAUUUCGGAUACUAUUUUUUGCAUUUUUUGCGGGAUUGAAGAAUGUUAAUUUAGCUGCCUGCUGUUCAUUGUCAAAUGGGUAAAAUCUGUAGUUCUCUGUUAUCUCUUUUGUAUGGGGUGGGGUUGGAUCUACUUUAGUUACAGUGACUUUGUAAAUUAGAUUUGUUGUGAAAUUAUGCGGUAAAUUGUA
This is a long non-coding RNA of Pyrus x bretschneideri (Chinese white pear), 1084 nucleotides long. RefSeq lists it as uncharacterized. The record is from RefSeq and is a predicted model, not a curated record. Lineage: Eukaryota; Viridiplantae; Streptophyta; Magnoliopsida; Rosales; Rosaceae. The transcript has 2 exons.